CACCUGUGCUGGGCUGACCCCAGCUCCCACUUCAUUACCUGUGGGAUACUACGGCUUAUAGAAGAUGUUACAGUUUCUUUAAAGAUCCUGAAGGUCCUUAUGAAAAGGAAAAUGUGCUGAGGAAAGCCCAGUCUGAGGCUACAGCUGUUAUUUUGUUAGAAGAAAUAGAGUCUCCAAAGAGAAACCAAAUACAGCUAGUUGUUAUACAGAAGCAAAGCAAACCCUGCCAUGGCAGUCCUCCUACAAUCAACUCCGUUUUUAGGAAUAUUGGUUUUUCUCCCUGAUGAUACUCUAUAAGCAUCGCAUGCAAGUCUUGCUCUUCACAGGAGCUGGAAAUGCCUUAUGAGCCAGCAGUUCUAAUGAACAGUGUCCAACUGGGAGCCUCAGACAGUGCAUUAUUUGUCUAUGAAGUUCAUCUUCGUAAGAGAAAUACCCUUAAACUUAGAUAAAAAUCUGUUCUUCAACUUUUUUUCCUCUUGACUGGUGACUUGCUUUCUUUUAUACAAAACCACAG
This 514-nucleotide long non-coding RNA is filed under the name Fukomys damarensis (Damara mole-rat). Its description in RNAcentral is "lncRNA (ENSFDAG00000024392.1)". Lineage: Eukaryota; Metazoa; Chordata; Mammalia; Rodentia; Bathyergidae. The record is from RNAcentral.